UUCAGUCAAACACUCUUAACUCACGUUGAUUUUCAGCCCACACACAACUCACACACACUAACACCUAAAACACACACACCAUUCACGCAUAUACCAUUUUUAGCUUGAGCUCAAGCUUUUGAGCUCCGAUUUGAGCACCGAGAUGAACGCCGAUCAUCUUUUCGAUCACGUAUCUAAGUAGGUCCUUUUGGGAAGUAACGACUUGAGGGAGAGAGUGACGUUACUCAUUGAUACAGAGACACAACGAGGUUGAGCUGAUGUGAUGAUGGUGCUGCAAUGAGCGGAGUCUCCAGGGUUGUUAAUAAAUAGUUAACCUGUCUAGAAUAUGUCUUCAUACAUAUGUCUAGCUACUUUCCGCUGCAAGAUGUUGUUGAUGUUAUAGUAUGUUAUGUCAUACUUUGAGUCUUAAGAGAAUGGUUGCAUAUGAUGUAUAACUUGAUUAAUGAUAUUAAUUAACUUUUAUGCAGUCUUUCAUAGACUGUUUUCAA
This is a long non-coding RNA of Salvia miltiorrhiza (redroot sage), 488 nucleotides long. RefSeq lists it as uncharacterized. The transcript has 3 exons. The record is from RefSeq and is a predicted model, not a curated record. Lineage: Eukaryota; Viridiplantae; Streptophyta; Magnoliopsida; Lamiales; Lamiaceae.